GGGCCCGCACAAGCGGUGGAGCAUGUGGUUUAAUUCGAUGAUACGCGAGGAACCUUACCAGGGCUUAAAUGUAGUCUGACAGGGGUGGAAACACCCCCUCCUUCGGGCAGAUUACAAGGUGCUGCAUGGUUGUCGUCAGCUCGUGCCGUGAGGUGUCAGGUUAAGUCCUAUAACGAGCGCAACCCCUGCCGUUAGUUGCCAGCAUGUAAUGAUGGGAACUCUAACGGGACUGCCGGUGCAAACCGCGAGGAAGGUGGGGAUGACGUCAAAUCAUCACGGCCCUUACGUCCUGGGCUACACACGUGCUACAAUGGCCGGUACAGAGGGCAGCCACACCGCAAGGUGGAGCGAAUCCUUAAAACCGGUCUCAGUUCGGAUUGGAGUCUGCAACUCGACUCCAUGAAGCUGGAGUUGCUAGUAAUCCCGGAU
RNAcentral lists this ribosomal RNA (429 nucleotides) under uncultured bacterium. Its description in RNAcentral is "bacterial SSU rRNA". It matches the Rfam family "Bacterial small subunit ribosomal RNA", at positions 917 to 1349 of the family's 1533-position model. The record is from RNAcentral.